UCAAUAGAGCUAAGUACAGUACAAACUGGCACUAAAAAGGUUGACUCGGCUCGGAAUUUCAUAUGUACUGCGGCUGCCCGUGUUAGAUAGUGUAAUCUAAUGGAUUAUUUAAUUAACAAACUUAAGAACACAGGUGCAGAAAUAUGAAUGGCGACUAGUCCUGGUAAACUUGAUAUGAGCACAAGGAUAAUGUCUGAACUGUACAUAAACUCCAUAAACUGUGUGAUACUAGUAGUUGCUCUUGCUCUCAUCAUUCUUAUAUAUGUCGUCUUCAUCGGACUCUACUGUCUAAUGGGAGGAUGCGGUGUAGUGAAUGUUCUGAAGAAGAUACUAUCCUUGUUAAACUGUAAACU
Eurytemora carolleeae is the source of this 353-nucleotide long non-coding RNA. RefSeq lists it as uncharacterized. NCBI's taxonomy places the organism in Eukaryota, Metazoa, Arthropoda, Copepoda, Calanoida, Temoridae. The record is from RefSeq and is a predicted model, not a curated record. The transcript has 3 exons.